GACGAACGCUGGCGGCGUGCUUAACACAUGCAAGUCGAACGGAAAGGCCCCUUUGGUGGUGCUCGAGUUGCGCACGUGUGAGUAACACGUGUGUAACCUGCCCUUCCUUUCGGGAUAACUUCAGUAAACUGGUGCUAAUACCGGUUAGGAAUCCUUGCUGCAUUGUGUGGCUUGGUAAGCUUGGGCGGUUUUGGAUUGACUCGCGGCUUAUCCGCUUGUUGGUGGGGUAGUUGCUUACCAAGGCUUUGACGGGGAGCCGGGCUGAGAGGGCGACCGGACACAGUGGGACUGAGAGACGGCCCAGACGGCGACGGGAGGCAGAAGUGGGGAAUAAUGCAGAAUGGGCGGAGGCGUGAGGCAGCAGCGGGGCGUGCGGGAGGAAGGCCUUCGGGUUGGAAAACGCGGUCAGCAGGGGCGAAGCGUGUGGUGACGGUAGCUGGAGAAGAAGCACCGGCUAACUACGUG
Molecule: ribosomal RNA, 465 nt
Filed under: uncultured bacterium
Lineage: Bacteria
Description: partial 16S ribosomal RNA
Rfam family: Bacterial small subunit ribosomal RNA
Source: RNAcentral